UGACAAGCUUGCUCCUGGGAGAUGAAGCA
RNAcentral lists this non-coding RNA (29 nucleotides) under Rattus norvegicus (Norway rat). Lineage: Eukaryota; Metazoa; Chordata; Mammalia; Rodentia; Muridae. The record is from RNAcentral.